Molecule: long non-coding RNA, 270 nt
Organism: Siniperca chuatsi (mandarin fish)
Lineage: Eukaryota; Metazoa; Chordata; Actinopteri; Centrarchiformes; Sinipercidae
Exons: 3
Source: RefSeq, a predicted model, not a curated record
GAGGACGACGUGAAAGAAAAAAUCAGCUUUGAUGGAGAUGGCCGCAAACAAUCAAGCCUCACCAUUUCCAAUCUUUUAUUAAAUGACAGUGGUGCUGAGCUGAAAGGAAAGCCAACGCUAAAGUCUGACUAAUAAACGUCUUUAACAUGAUAUCUAUGGUCUUUAUAUUGUGCUUCCUUCAUCUGCCGGUGAAUAAGGGUGCCUCUAACAGCAACAGUGUCCUCCAAACACCUCCUUUCAUCAUUAAGAGAACCGAUCAAUCUGUUGACA